This 515-nucleotide ribosomal RNA is filed under the name uncultured bacterium. RNAcentral's name for it is "partial 16S ribosomal RNA". It matches the Rfam family "Bacterial small subunit ribosomal RNA", at positions 28 to 523 of the family's 1533-position model. The record is from RNAcentral.
GAUGAACGCUGGCGGCGUGCCUAAUACAUGCAAGUCGAGCGAAUGGAUUAAGAGCUUGCUCUUAUGAAGUUAGCGGCGGACGGGUGAGUAACACGUGGGUAACCUGCCCAUAAGACUGGGAUAACUCCGGGAAACCGGGGCUAAUACCGGAUAACAUUUUGAACCGCAUGGUUCGAAGUUGAAAGGCGGCUUCGGCUGUCACUUAUGGAUGGACCCGCGUCGCAUUAGCUAGUUGGUGAGGUAACGGCUCACCAAGGCAGCGAUGCGUAGCCGACCUGAGAGGGUGAUCGGCCACACUGGGACUGAGACACGGCCCAGACUCCUACGGGAGGCAGCAGUAGGGAAUCUUCCGCAAUGGACGAAAGUCUGACGGAGCAACGCCGCGUGAGUGAUGAAGGCUUUCGGGUCGUAAAACUCUGUUGUUAGGGAAGAACAAGUGCUAGUUGAAUAAGCUGACACCUUGACGGUACCUAACCAGAAAGCCACGGCUAACUACGUGCCAGCAGCCGCGGUAA